This 253-nucleotide ribosomal RNA is filed under the name uncultured bacterium. RNAcentral describes it as "partial 16S ribosomal RNA". It matches the Rfam family "Bacterial small subunit ribosomal RNA", at positions 524 to 776 of the family's 1533-position model. The record is from RNAcentral.
UACAGAGGGUGCGAGCGUUAAUCGGAGUUACUGGGCGUAAAGGGCGCGUAGGCGGUUAUAUAAGUGAGAUGUGAAAUCCCUGGGCUUAACCUAGGACUUGCAUCUUAUACUGUAUGACUGGAGUACUGUAGAGGGUAGUGGAAUUUCCGGUGUAGCGGUGAAAUGCGUAGAGAUCGGAAGGAACACCAGUGGCGAAGGCGGCUACCUGGACAGAUACUGACGCUGAGGUGCGAAAGCGUGGGGAGCAAACAGG